Molecule: ribosomal RNA, 497 nt
Filed under: uncultured bacterium
Lineage: Bacteria
Description: partial 16S ribosomal RNA
Rfam family: Bacterial small subunit ribosomal RNA
Source: RNAcentral
GAUGAACGCUGGCGGCGUGCCUAAUACAUGCAAGUCGAGCGAACAGACUAGGAGCUUGCUCCUCUGACGUUAGCGGCGGACGGGUGAGUAACACGUGGAUAACCUACCUAUAAGACUGGGAUAACUUCGGGAAACCGGAGCUAAUACCGGAUAAUAUAUUGAACCGCAUGGUUCAAUAGUGAAAGACGGUUUUGCUAUCACUUAUAGAUGGAUCCGCGCCGCAUUAGCUAGUUGGUAAGUUAACGGCUUACCAAGGCAACGAUGCGUAGCCGACCUGAGAGGGUGAUCGGCCACACUGGAACUGAGACACGGUCCAGACUCCUACGGGAGGCAGCAGUAGGGAAUCUUCCGCAAUGGGCGAAAGCCUGACGGAGCAACGCCGCGUGAGUGAUGAAGGUCUUCGGAUCGUAAAACUCUGUUAUUAGGGAAGAACAAAUGUGUAAGUAACUAUGCACGUCUUGACGGUACCUAAUCAGAAAGCCACGGCUAACUACGUG